Oncorhynchus tshawytscha (Chinook salmon) is the source of this 2508-nucleotide long non-coding RNA. Lineage: Eukaryota; Metazoa; Chordata; Actinopteri; Salmoniformes; Salmonidae. The record is from Ensembl.
CUACCAAGGCCUUUCAGAUCCAUACACAUGUUUAUUACAGUGAUAGUUGUUAGCCAAGCAUUGAUGUUGUCAUUCUCUCUCAGGUCUUGUCUCUUAUGAUCACAGUAGAGGUGACAGCACAGUUAUAGAGCAGCAGCAUGAUAUGAUUACUUUAUUGAGCCUUUAUUACUUUAUUUUUACAUUUUAAAUGGACCAAACUGUCUGGGGCACGAUUACAGACUUGGAUGAAUGGGCAAAAUCAGAUUUGGGGUGUUCGAACACACAUACACACCUACAAACAAACACACACAUGCAGAUAAACAGAGACACACACACACACACACAUACACACACACAUACACAAACAAAGUGCCUUAAGUGCUGGUAAUGUCUGUCAUGCUGCUCUGACAGCAGUAGUUUAACGCAGGCAAUCUGCUUAAUAUGCCCAAUGUGAGACAUUAGAUUCAAACAACAUUAAGGAGAUUUGGACUAUAUUGUUUUCUCACGGCACCGUGGAGAGAGCGAUAAAAUUACAAGGAACUAGAAAUUGUAGGUUUUAGCCCCAGCAAACAUGUCCACAUUGUCUCGGUGUGGGCCCAAUUUGGGCUAAAAUAUUGGCCCCAUCUAGGCUGCCCACAUUGGGCCGAUGCGCCUUUGGUGUGGGCUAUUCUGUGUUUAGUUGGUAUGGGCUAGCCUGUGUUGGGCUGGUGUGGGCUAUUCUGUGUUUAGUUGGUAUGGGCUAGCCUGUGUUGGGCUGGUGUGGGCUAGCCCGUGUUGGGCUGGUGUGGGCUAUUCUGUGUUUUGUUGGUAUGGGCUAGCCCGUGUUGGGCUGGUGUGGGCUAGCCCGUGUUGGGCUGGUGUGGGCUAUUCUGUGUUUUGUUGGUAUGGGCUAGCCCGUGUUGGGCUGGUGUGGGCUAGCCCGUGUUGGGCUGGUGUGGGCUAGCCUGUGUUGGGUUGGUGUGGGCUAGCCUGUGUUGGGUUGGUGUGGGCUAGCCUGUGUUUAGUUGGUAUGGGCUAGCCCGUGUUGGGCUGGUGUGGGCUAGCCUGUGUUUUGUUGGUAUGGGCUAGCCCGUGUUGGGCUGGUGUGGGCUAGCCCGUGUUGGGUUGGUGUGGGCUAGCCUGUGUUGGGUUGGUGUGGGCUAGCCUGUGUUGGGUUGGUGUGGGCUAGCCUGUGUUUAGUUGGUAUAGGCUAGCCUGUGUUGGGCUGGUGUGGGCUAUUCUGUGUUUAGUUGGUAUGGGCUAGCCUGUGUUGGGCUGGUGUGGGCUAGCCUGUGUUUAGUUGGUAUAGGCUAGCCUGUGUUGGGUUGGUGUGGGCUAGCCUGUGUUUAGUUGGUAUAGGCUAGCCUGUGUUGGGCUGGUGUGGGCUAUUCUGUGUUUAGUUGGUAUGGGCUAGCCUGUGUUGGGCUGGUGUGGGCUAUUCUGUGUUUAGUUGGUAUGGGCUAGCCUGUGUUGGGCUGGUGUGGGCUAUUCUGUGUUUCGUUGGUAUGGGCUAGCCUGUGUUGGGUUGGUGUGGGCUAGCCUGUGUUGGGUUGGUGUGGGCUAGCCUGUGUUGGGUUGGUAUGGGCUAGCCUGUGUUGGGUUGGUGUGGGCUAGCCUGUGUUGGGUUGGUAUGGGCUAGCCUGUGUUGGGUUGGUGUGGGCUAGCCUGUGUUGGGUUGGUGUGGGCUAGCCUGUGUUGGGUUGGUGUGGGCUAGCCUGUGUUGGGUUGGUGUGGGCUAGCCUGUGUUGGGUUGGUAUGGGCUAGCCUGUGUUGGGUUGGUAUGGGCUAGCCUGUGUUGGGUUGGUAUGGGCUAGCCUGUGUUGGGUUGGUGUGGGCUAGCCUGUGUUGGGUUGGUGUGGGCUAGCCUGUGUUGGGUUGGUGUGGGGUAGCCUUUGUUGGGCUGGGUGCUGAUGUAGGAUAUCUGAUGUUGGGCUGAUGUGGGAUUGGUGUGGGCUAGCCUGUGUUGGGCUGGCUUAGGCUAGCCCAACUUGCCCACCAAAUACCCACAUGGGGCCAAUGGGUUCAUGUUUGCUGGGGAGAAAGAAAAGAGAACCUUCCCUCACAGCUAUCUGCCUGAAGCUUGAAUACACAUAUUACUCAACGCAGGUUGGACUGGACUGAGCCAGCCCAGAGAACAUUUUGAUAAAGGGGACUUUUCUAACGCCUUCAAAGACCUGCCUUCAUGAAUUGGACCCAGAGUUCCAAUCAGCUCAAAACUAUUUGUUUUAAUGUCGUUUAUAGAGCUGGUCUUCAUUCUAUUUGAACAAUCUUAAGAGCUGUCAUUUUAUUGUGAGGAACUGCAGUUUUAUCAGACGUUUUUUCUGUUUUGUCCUCUGUGUGAGUGAUCCUUCAAGUUCAGUAUGAGAAGCCUUAGUCAGUAGUCACAGUAACACUGUCUAACUUUUACUCAAACAGUAGUACUACUCACUUUUAAUAACUAAAUCCUAUCUGGGCUCGGGAGUAGCUCACUUACACUGUAUGAGGCUGGCUGUGUGUGUGUGUGUGUGUGUGUGUGUGUGUGUGUGUGUGUGUGUGUGUGUGUGUGUGUGU